RNAcentral lists this ribosomal RNA (253 nucleotides) under uncultured bacterium. Its description in RNAcentral is "partial 16S ribosomal RNA". It matches the Rfam family "Bacterial small subunit ribosomal RNA", at positions 524 to 776 of the family's 1533-position model. The record is from RNAcentral.
UACGGGGGGAGCAAGCGUUGUUCGGAAUCACUGGGCGUAAAGGGCGUGUAGGCGGUUAGGUAAGUGGAAUGUGAAAUGCCUCGGCUCACCCGAGGAUCUGCAUCCCAAACUGCCUGACUUGAGUAUGGGAGAGGAUGAGGGAAUUCCUGGUGUAGCGGUGAAAUGCGUAGAUAUCAGGAGGAACACCGGUGGCGAAGGCGCUCAUCUGGCCCAAUACUGACGCUGAGGCGCGAAAGCUAGGGGAGCAAACGGG